CGUAGGGGCAAGCGUUGUCCGGAUUUAUUGGGCGUAAAGAGCGUGUAGGCGGCCAUGCAGGUCCGUUGUGAAAACUCGAGGCUCAACCUCGAGACGUCGAUGGAAACCGCAUGGCUAGAGUCCGGAAGAGGAGAGUGGAAUUCCUGGUGUAGCGGUGAAAUGCGCAGAUAUCAGGAAGAACACCCGUGGCGAAGGCGGCUCUCUGGGACGGUACUGACGCUGAGACGCGAAAGCGUGGGAGCGAACAGGAUU
RNAcentral lists this ribosomal RNA (252 nucleotides) under uncultured bacterium. RNAcentral's name for it is "partial 16S ribosomal RNA". It matches the Rfam family "Bacterial small subunit ribosomal RNA", at positions 526 to 779 of the family's 1533-position model. The record is from RNAcentral.